This 253-nucleotide ribosomal RNA is filed under the name uncultured microorganism. RNAcentral describes it as "partial 16S ribosomal RNA". It matches the Rfam family "Bacterial small subunit ribosomal RNA", at positions 524 to 776 of the family's 1533-position model. The record is from RNAcentral.
UACGUAGGUGGCAAGCGUUAUCCGGAAUUAUUGGGCGUAAAGCGUGCGCAGGCGGCCCGUUAAGACAGGUGUGAAAUCCCUGGGCUCAACCUAGGAAUUGCGCUUGUGACUGGCGGGCUCGAGUACGGUAGAGGGGGGUGGAAUUCCUGGUGUAGCAGUGAAAUGCGUAGAGAUCAGGAGGAACACCGAUGGCGAAGGCAGCCCCCUGGGCCUGUACUGACGCUCAUGCACGAAAGCGUGGGGAGCAAACAGG